GUGGUACAAUCUGUGAAAAGGUUGAAAAGCCCUGAUCUAGACAUUAAUACUUCAGAUAGAACCAUAUUGUCAUGAGCAACAAUUCCUAAAUGUGCUACUUGACUCAUUAUGAUCUUUACUUUGUUGUAAUGUUUUUCCAUAUGCUGGUAAAUGAAGCUUCAUUAAAAUCAGGCUAGCAUGGAUUACUUCAGUACCUGGAUAUCAGACUGUGCAAUCUUUUGGGAAAUAUUGGCAGCAGUAAUAGGCAAAUUUUUAUUUGGAGGAGAUUGCUGCUUCUGAGAUUCUCCCUAAGGAACACUUUCUAAACAGCUGAGGGGCACUAUCUGAAAGUAGCUAAUCUAUAGAGACAGAAUAGAUACAAAAUCUGAAUCCGCACUAGUCUUCACUCUCUACUUUCAAAAUACUCUCAUGUUUGAAAAUACAUUUCUAUUGAACCAGGAAUGUCCAUUCUUAUUUGAUGAUACCAACAAGAAGUUACAUACAGACCACUAUAAAACUUCAUGAUUGAAUUCAAUGGCUUAAGUUCAGAAUAAAAAUAUUCUGACUGAAGUAAGGACAGAUUUGCCAGAAUAUCAAUGUCCAGACUUUCUUAAUCCAAAACUUAGUUGUAUUAAGAGUAUUAAGUACAACAAUGACUGAGGUUCAGCCUGAAAAUGCAUUACUGGCCCUUUCAUUUUCAAGUUUGUUAUGCAAUGCUAGUGUUGCUCAAGGAACAACUUCCUAACUGCCAAGAAAAGCUGAUCAUUUCACCAUUGUCUUCCUUGACUUAGUGCCAAGAGUGCAGAGUAACUGCAAAAUUGCCAACUAGCUAGAAUCAGAGAUUUGCACAUUUUUGAAAUUAAAAAAUGAAAUUAUUAACACUAAAUUAGCAAAGAAACUCUCACCCUGACUAUCUGGACAUAACCAAGCAUUAGUACUGAAGUGUUUUGCCAUUGCUUUCUUCUAAGAUGCAUUUCAAAUUUCUAGAUUAACCUAAAGUCCUGGGGCUAAAUUUGCUGAGCCCCUCCCAUCUAGAACUGAUGGUUUUCAGCCCAAAUGGUUUUCAGCCCAAAUUUGCUGAGCCCCUCCCAUCCAGAACUGAUCAGCCCAAAUGAUAUUAACCGUAUAUUUUUGUCAUCUGCAGGGACAAGAUAACACUUCCUCAAGCCAAAUGUAACUCCUGGAAACUCUUGGCACCAGGGACCAUCUGGUGUCAAAGAGAUGGAGGGACCCUGUUACUCUUAAAAAUUGUGAGCUUAUUUAUUUUGGCAAUAUUCUAUAGACACCAAAUUAUGUAUUUUUCCCUUUAUAACCCUAUCUUAAAUGAAGCAAUCACCUAGACCAUUUACAUUAUAGUUAAGCAACCAUAAUUACAUUUUUGUGAAAUUUUAUUUUAAAAUGGAACCUUUAUGAAUUAAACUGAGACCAAUAACUAACCUAUAAAUCUUGAUCUUAUAUUUUUACCAAUAUAAUUUCCAGCCCACUUUCCAAACUGUUGCAUGCCAAACAUUUCUGCUGCAAAAAUUACUAAUGGCAUUACAAAAUGUAUGUUAUGAAAUACAACUGCUCAAUUAGGCAACUAAUUGUGCUGAAAGAUAGAUGCUUACCCUGAUGAUCAAGGAACAAGAAAUAUUUCUGCCCUCUCUUCAUGGUCUAAGAACAUGAAUAACUGUUUGCAGUGAAAUAUUACCUGCUAAAUUGAAAGGAGAAUAGAAUAAGUGAGAUGAAACUGUUGGUGCAGAAUAAAGCAAUAUGUUGAA
Long non-coding RNA from Crotalus tigris (Tiger rattlesnake), 1739 nucleotides. RefSeq lists it as uncharacterized. The transcript is spliced from 2 exons. The record is from RefSeq and is a predicted model, not a curated record. Lineage: Eukaryota; Metazoa; Chordata; Lepidosauria; Squamata; Viperidae.